Non-coding RNA from Pelobates cultripes (western spadefoot toad), 1240 nucleotides. Lineage: Eukaryota; Metazoa; Chordata; Amphibia; Anura; Pelobatidae. The record is from the annotation of a GenBank genome assembly.
UAUAUCAAUGUCCUCUCCAGGUGGGUCGAGGCCAGAGCCUUCCAAUGUGGGCUAGAUUGUGUAGCCAUAGGUGCCGGUUUGGGCUGUCACUGUACGGGUGGUGGUGUCCGUCUGGUGCGUGGGACAAAGGGGAUGAUGGUGGCCGGGUCUCUGGCACUCUCAGGAAGCGUAUGAUUAUCGGUUGGAAUGGGUAGUCCCAAUUUUCUCAAAAAAGAGGCUGCGUCGGCCAUGGUGUGGAGGACAUGCGUAGUUCCUUCCGCGGUGACCGUUAAGGAGUUGUCGGUUCCCCAUCUGUAUGGCAGUCCUGCCGUGCGUAGUUGGGAUGUUACCGGUGCGUAGGUUUUCCUCCAUAGCAGUGUUGCUUUAGUGAGGUCUUGGAAGAAGUUCAAGGUGUCAUUCUCAAAUAAAAGAGGGGUUUUGCCCUUCACGGCUGACAUGACAUGUAUUUUGUCUUGUACUGAGUGGAAGCGCAGGAUGACAUCCCGGUUCAGGUUGGUAUUAGUGUUGGUGGUAUUGGGGAUGCGAUAUAAACUGUCCACUGUGAUUUUGCGGGCCAGCGUGGGAGGUAAUAUAGAUGUCAAGAGGCGUCGGGUGUAGUGGGGAAGUUCCUCCGCGGAUAUUGCCGUAGGAAUACCCCUUAUUUUGAUGUUUGCGCGGCGUUGUCUAUCCUCUAGUAUUAUGAGUUUUGCGUUCAGGGUAGUCUGGUGCGUUUGUAAUUGGUGGAUAGAGUCCUGCAUGGUUUGCAUGGCAGAUUGUGUAUCUGCUAUAGCCCCCUCUGUGGUCUUGACUCUCUCUGUUACGGCCUGUAGCUGUGUUGUAAAUACAGCUAAAUCUGCAGCCAGGAGCUUGUGGAUAUCAGCUAAUAAAACCUUCAGGUCUCCCCUAGUUGUUGGGGCUGAUUCAUCCAGAGGGUCCGCUUGUGCGGGUCUUACCACCUGGGGGUGAUGUGGUACCUCCAUCUCGUGGCGGUCCGGUUCCGGUUCUGUGUCCGGUUGGUCUACGGCCUGAGUGUGUUUGGGCUUCUGGAGUAGCGCCCCAAUGUCCCUGGUAUCCGACCCUGUGGUGGGUCUCUGUGAUUUACGGCCCAUGGUGAGUGUGGUGGGCGAUGUUUGUGAUGGGGACGCCCUCGGCCGUUCCGCAGGGUCUCCGCCAAAGAGUGACGCGAGGCUGGGGAUUUGGAGAGGGUGGUAGGCCUCGGUUUUCCGUCGCCGCUUAGGCUGUUUUUGCGGCUGUAAGAAGG